UACAGAGGGGGCAAGCGUUGUUCGGAAUUACUGGGCGUAAAGGGCGCGUAGGCGGCCCGCUAAGUCGAACGUGAAAUCCCUGGGCUCAACCCAGGAACUGCGUCCGAUACUGGCAGGCUUGAAUCCGGGAGAGGGAUGCGGAAUUCCAGGUGUAGCGGUGAAAUGCGUAGAUAUCAGGAGGAACACCGGUGGCGAAGGCGGAUCUCUGGGCCUUACCUGACGCUGAGGCGCGAAAGCUAGGGGAGCAAACAGG
RNAcentral lists this ribosomal RNA (253 nucleotides) under uncultured bacterium. RNAcentral describes it as "partial 16S ribosomal RNA". It matches the Rfam family "Bacterial small subunit ribosomal RNA", at positions 524 to 776 of the family's 1533-position model. The record is from RNAcentral.